AAAAUAUGUGUUUGAAACAUAAUCCUCCUCAUCUAUCACAUAAAAAAGUAAAAAAAUUAAUGUCAUAACUCAACUAUGUAAAAAAAAUUAAAUUAUUUACAGAUACUUUAACCUUAAGUUACUUACUAAUAACAUUUAGAUCCCAAUACUCAGAACUAGAGAAUCGAACAACAUCUUCAGCCUCAUCUUCUACCACAACAUCUUCAGUCUCGUCUCCUACCACA
Molecule: long non-coding RNA, 224 nt
Filed under: Lathyrus oleraceus (garden pea)
Lineage: Eukaryota; Viridiplantae; Streptophyta; Magnoliopsida; Fabales; Fabaceae
Description: Pisum sativum (pea) long non-coding RNA (PSAT_LNC008430)
Source: RNAcentral